GACGAACGCUGGCGGCGUGCUUAACACAUGCAAGUCGAACGGAAAGGCCCUGCUUUUGUGGGGUGCUCGAGUGGCGAACGGGUGAGUAACACGUGAGUAACCUGCCCUUGACUUUGGGAUAACUUCAGGAAACUGGGGCUAAUACCGUAUAGGAGCUCCUGCUGCAUGGUGGGGGUUGGAAAGUUUCGGCGGUUGGGGAUGGACUCGCGGCUUAUCAGCUUGUUGGUGGGGUAGUGGCUUACCAAGGCUUUGACGGGUAGCCGGCCUGAGAGGGUGACCGGCCACAUUGGGACUGAGAGACGGCCCAGACUCCUACGGGAGGCAGCAGUGGGGAAUAUUGCACAAUGGGCGGAAGCCUGAUGCAGCAACGCCGCGUGCGGGAUGACGGCCUUCGGGUUGUAAACCGCUUUCGCCUGUGACGAAGCGUGAGUGACGGUAAUGGGUAAAGAAGCACCGGCUAACUACGUG
Molecule: ribosomal RNA, 468 nt
Filed under: uncultured bacterium
Lineage: Bacteria
Description: partial 16S ribosomal RNA
Rfam family: Bacterial small subunit ribosomal RNA
Source: RNAcentral